GACGAACGCUGGCGGCGUGCUUAACACAUGCAAGUCGAACGGAAAGGCCCUGCUUUUGUGGGGUGCUCGAGUGGCGAACGGGUGAGUAACACGUGAGUAACCUGCCCUUGCCUUUGGGAUAACUUCAGGAAACUGGGGCUAAUACCGGAUAGGAGCUCCUGCUGCAUGGUGGGGGUUGGAAAGUUUCGGCGGUUGGGGAUGGACUCGCGGCUUAUCAGCUUGUUGGUGGGGUAGUGGCUUACCAAGGCUUUGACGGGUAGCCGGCCCGAGAGGGUGACCGGCCACAUUGGGACUGAGAUACGGCCCAGACUCCUACGGGAGGCAGCAGUGGGGAAUAUUGCACAAUGGGCGGAAGCCUGAUGCAGCAACGCCGCGUGCGGGAUGACGGCCUUCGGGUUGUAAACCGCUUUCGCCUGUGACGAAGCGUGAGUGACGGUAAUGGGUAAAGAAGCACCGGCUAACUACGUG
RNAcentral lists this ribosomal RNA (468 nucleotides) under uncultured bacterium. Its description in RNAcentral is "partial 16S ribosomal RNA". It matches the Rfam family "Bacterial small subunit ribosomal RNA", at positions 28 to 507 of the family's 1533-position model. The record is from RNAcentral.